Molecule: ribosomal RNA, 508 nt
Filed under: uncultured bacterium
Lineage: Bacteria
Description: partial 16S ribosomal RNA
Rfam family: Bacterial small subunit ribosomal RNA
Source: RNAcentral
GACGAACGCUGGCGGCGUGCCUAAUACAUGCAAGUCGAACGCUUCUUUCCUGCCUAGUGGUUGCACUCAAUUGGAAAGAGGGGUGGCGGACGGGGGAUUAACACGUGGGUAACCUACGCAUCAGUGGGGGAUGACACUCUGAUACAGGUUCUAAUACCGCAUAACAGUUUAUGCCUCAUGGCAUAUGAGUGGAAGGCGCUUUACGGGGGCGCUAAUGGAUUGACCCGCGGGUCAUUAGAUAGUUGGUGUGGUAACGGCUUACCAAGGGCGCGGGGCAUAGCCGACCUGAGAGGGUGAUCGGCCGCAUGGGGAGUGAGACAGGGCCAAGACUACUGCGGGAGGCCGCAGUCGGGAAUCGUAGGCAAUGGAGGAAAGUCUGACAGAGUAACGCGGCGUGAGUGACGAAGGUUCUCGGAUCGUAAAGCUCUGUUGUUAGUGAAGAACCAGGACGUUAGUAAACGAAGGGCGAGUGACGGUAUCUAAUAAGAAAGCAACGGCUAACUACGUG